This 253-nucleotide ribosomal RNA is filed under the name uncultured bacterium. RNAcentral describes it as "partial 16S ribosomal RNA". It matches the Rfam family "Bacterial small subunit ribosomal RNA", at positions 524 to 776 of the family's 1533-position model. The record is from RNAcentral.
UACAGAGGGGGCAAGUGUUAUUCGGAAUUAUUGGGCGUAAAGGGCGCGUAGGCGGCUUUUCAAGUGACGGGUGAAAUCCCUCGGCUUAACCGAGGAACUGCCUGUCAGACUGGAAGGCUUGAGACCGGGAGAGGUGAGUGGAAUUCCCAGUGUAGCGGUGAAAUGCGUAGAUAUUGGGAGGAACACCAGUGGCGAAGGCGGCUCACUGGACCGGAACUGACGCUGAGGCGCGAAAGCGUGGGGAGCAAACAGG